UUUGUCUGGUUCGUUCGUCUCUCCACCUCCUCCUCGAUCCUAAAGCUUGAAAUGUGAAUCGCUAGAGCCUAUGUAAGAUGUCUGAGAAGAAGCUUCGUCCCAUCAAGCUGAAUCGUUAUACCAUGAUGGGAGAAGAUAACAGCUCCUCUAGGAACGCCUUGGUCAAAGUCAAGUUAGAGAAGGACAAGCACGUGUCCUCAGGCUCCUCCAGCAAAGCCAUUGUCACAGUCAAGCUAGAGAAGGAA
Molecule: long non-coding RNA, 245 nt
Organism: Brassica napus (rape)
Lineage: Eukaryota; Viridiplantae; Streptophyta; Magnoliopsida; Brassicales; Brassicaceae
Exons: 2
Source: RefSeq, a predicted model, not a curated record